GAUGAACGCUAGCUACAGGCUUAACACAUGCAAGUCGAGGGGCAGCAUGGUCUUAGCUUGCUAAGGCCGAUGGCGACCGGCGCACGGGUGAGUAACACGUAUCCAACCUGCCGUCUACUCUUGGACAGCCUUCUGAAAGGAAGAUUAAUACAAGAUGGCAUCAUGAGUCCGCAUGUUCACAUGAUUAAAGGUAUUCCGGUAGACGAUGGGGAUGCGUUCCAUUAGAUAGUAGGCGGGGUAACGGCCCACCUAGUCUUCGAUGGAUAGGGGUUCUGAGAGGAAGGUCCCCCACAUUGGAACUGAGACACGGUCCAAACUCCUACGGGAGGCAGCAGUGAGGAAUAUUGGUCAAUGGGCGAGAGCCUGAACCAGCCAAGUAGCGUGAAGGACGACUGCCCUAUGGGUUGUAAACUUCUUUUAUAAAGGAAUAAAGUCGGGUAUGGAUACCCGUUUGCAUGUACUUUAUGGAUAAGAAUCGGCUAACUCCGUG
RNAcentral lists this ribosomal RNA (490 nucleotides) under uncultured bacterium. RNAcentral's name for it is "partial 16S ribosomal RNA". It matches the Rfam family "Bacterial small subunit ribosomal RNA", at positions 28 to 507 of the family's 1533-position model. The record is from RNAcentral.